UACGUAGGGGGCAAGCGUUGUCCGGAAUCAUUGGGCGUAAAGAGCGCGUAGGCGGUCCGGUAAGUCCGCUGUGAAAGUCAAGGGCUCAACCCUUGAAUGCCGGUGGAUACUGUCGGGCUAGAGUGCGGAAGAGGCGAGUGGAAUUCCUGGUGUAGCGGUGAAAUGCGCAGAUAUCAGGAGGAACACCGAUUGCGAAGGCAGCUCGCUGGGACGUAACUGACGCUGAGACGCGAAAGCGUGGGGAGCAAACAGG
This 253-nucleotide ribosomal RNA is filed under the name uncultured bacterium. RNAcentral's name for it is "partial 16S ribosomal RNA". It matches the Rfam family "Bacterial small subunit ribosomal RNA", at positions 524 to 776 of the family's 1533-position model. The record is from RNAcentral.